Molecule: transfer RNA, 73 nt
Filed under: bacterium
Lineage: Bacteria
Also listed under: 1 other name
Description: tRNA-Pro
Rfam family: tRNA
About the family: Transfer RNA (tRNA) molecules are approximately 80 nucleotides in length. Their secondary structure includes four short double-helical elements and three loops (D, anti-codon, and T loops).
Source: RNAcentral
CGGGCUGUAGCGCAGUUGGUAGCGCGCGUCGUUCGGGACGACGAGGUCGUGAGUUCGAGUCUCAUCAGCCCGA